RNAcentral lists this ribosomal RNA (482 nucleotides) under uncultured bacterium. Its description in RNAcentral is "partial 16S ribosomal RNA". It matches the Rfam family "Bacterial small subunit ribosomal RNA", at positions 30 to 507 of the family's 1533-position model. The record is from RNAcentral.
AUUGAACGCUGGCGGCAUGAUUUACACAUGCAAGUCGAACGGUAACAGGCCGCAAGGUGCUGACGAGUGGCGAACGGGUGAGUAAUGCAUCGGAACGUGCCCAGUCGUGGGGGAUAACUACUCGAAAGAGUAGCUAAUACCGCAUACGAUCUAUGGAUGAACGCGGGGGACCGUAAGGCCUCGCGCGAUUGGAGCGGCCGAUGUCAGAUUAGGUAGUUGGUGGGGUAAAGGCUCACCAAGCCAACGAUCUGUAGCUGGUCUGAGAGGACGACCAACCACACUGGGACUGAGACACGGCCCAGACUCCUACGGGAGGCAGCAGUGGGGAAUUUUGGACAAUGGGCGCAAGCCUGAUCCAGCAAUGCCGCGUGCAGGAAGAAGGCCUUCGGGUUGUAAACUGCUUUUGUACGGAACGAAACGGCUCUGGUUAAUACCCGGGGCUAAUGACGGUACCGGAAGAAUAAGCACCGGCUAACUACGUG